Molecule: unclassified non-coding RNA, 281 nt
Filed under: Xylodon asperus
Lineage: Eukaryota; Fungi; Basidiomycota; Agaricomycetes; Hymenochaetales; Schizoporaceae
Description: Xylodon asper partial contains 5.8S ribosomal RNA, internal transcribed spacer 2, and large subunit ribosomal RNA
Source: RNAcentral
CACACCUUGCGCUCCUUGGUAUUCCGAGGAGCAUGCCUGUUUGAGUGUCUUUUAAUUAUCAACUUCCCUUUCUUUAUUGAAAGGGGUGAGCUUGGACUUGGGGAUUGCUGGCUUAGUGUUGGCUUCCCUUGAAUUCAUUAGCUGGAAUUAAUUCGCAGCAUAUAUGCGGUGUGAUAAUGUCGUCACUGUGUAGCUCGGGUUGUCUAGCUUCUAAUUGUCCUUCACGUGACAAAUCUGAUCAUCUGGACCUCAAAUCAGGUAGGACUACCCGCUGAACUUAA